GACGAACGUUGGCGGCGUGCCUAAUACAUGCAAGUCAACUGAAAUACCGGUAGCAAUACUGGUAUGGAGGUGGCGCACGGGUGAGUAACACGUAGGUAAUCUGCCUUCAGGUCUGACAUAACCCAUCGAAAGGUGAGCUAAUAUCAGAUGAUGCAGCGGCUUGACAUCAAGACAGUUGUUAAAGCUUCGGCGCCUGAAGAUGAGCCUGCGUCUGAUUAGCUAGUUGGCGGGGUAACGGCCCACCAAGGCUGCGAUCAGUAGCUGGUCUGAGAGGAUGAUCAGUCACAC
Molecule: ribosomal RNA, 288 nt
Filed under: uncultured bacterium
Lineage: Bacteria
Description: partial 16S ribosomal RNA
Rfam family: Bacterial small subunit ribosomal RNA
Source: RNAcentral